GAACGCCGUAGCAAUACGGAGUGGCAGACGGGUGAGUAACGCGUGGGAACAUACCCCUCGGUUCGGAAUAACUCAGGGAAACUUGAGCUAAUACCGGAUACGUCCAAGGCGACUUGGAGAAAGAAUUAUCGCCUAAGGAUUGGCCCGCGUCUGAUUAGCUAGUUGGUGGGGUAAUGGCUCAUCAAGGCGACGAUCAGUAGCUGGUCUGAGAGGAUGAUCAGCCACAUUGGGACUGAGACACGGCCCAAACUCCUACGGGAGGCAGCAGUGGGGAAUAUUGGACAAUGGGCGCAAGCCUGAUCCAGCCAUGCCGCGUGAGUGACGAAGGCCUUAGGGUUGUAAAGCUCUUUUGCCUGGGAAGAUAAUGACGGUACCAGGAGAAUAAGCCCCGGCCAACUUCGUG
RNAcentral lists this ribosomal RNA (403 nucleotides) under uncultured bacterium. RNAcentral describes it as "bacterial SSU rRNA". It matches the Rfam family "Bacterial small subunit ribosomal RNA", at positions 64 to 507 of the family's 1533-position model. The record is from RNAcentral.